GGCAGCAGUGGGGAAUUUUGGACAAUGGGCGCAGCCUGAUCCAGCCAUGCCGCGUGCAGGAAGAAGGCCUUCGGGUUGUAAACUGCUUUUGUACGGAACGAAAAGGCUCUGGUUAAUACCUGGGGCAUAUGACGGGUACCGUCAAGAAUAAGCACCGGGCUAACUACGUGCCAGCAGCCCGCGGUAAUACGUAGGGUGCAAGCGUUAAUCGGAAUUACUGGGCGUAAAAGCGUGCGCAGGCGGUUUUGUAAGACAGGCGUGAAAUCCCCGGGCUCAACCUGGGAAUUGCGCUUGUGACUGCAAGGCUGGAGUGCGGCAGAGGGGGAUGGAAUUCCGCGUGUAGCAGUGAAAUGCGUAGAUAUGCGGAGGAACACCGAUGGCGAAGGCAAUCCCCUGGGCCUGCACUGACGCUCAUGCACGAAAGCGUGGGGAGCAAACAGGAUUAGAUAC
Molecule: ribosomal RNA, 450 nt
Filed under: uncultured Hydrogenophaga sp.
Lineage: Bacteria; Pseudomonadati; Pseudomonadota; Betaproteobacteria; Burkholderiales; Comamonadaceae
Description: bacterial SSU rRNA
Rfam family: Bacterial small subunit ribosomal RNA
Source: RNAcentral